CCUACGGGAGGCAGCAGUGGGGAAUAUUGCACAAUGGGCGCAAGCCUGAUGCAGCAACGCCGCGUGAGGGACGACGGCCUUCGGGUUGUAAACCUCUUUUAGUAGGGAAGAAGCGAAAGUGACGGUACCUGCAGAAAAAGCACCGGCUAACUACGUGCCAGCAGCCACGGUAAUACGUAGGGUGCAAGCGUUAUCCGGAAUUAUUGGGCGUAAAGAGCUCGUAGGCGGUUUGUCGCGUCUGCUGUGAAAACUGGAGGCUCAACCUCCAGCCUGCAGUGGGUACGGGCAGACUAGAGUGCGGUAGGGGAGAUUGGAAUUCCUGGUGUAGCGGUGGAAUGCGCAGAUAUCAGGAGGAACACCGAUGGCGAAGGCAGAUCUCUGGGCCGUAACUGACGCUGAGGAGCGAAAGCAUGGGGAGCGAACAGGAUUAGAUACCCUGGUAGUCCAUGCCGUAAACGUUGGGAACUAGAUGUAGGGACCAUUCCACGGUUUCUGUGUCGCAGCUAACGCAUUAAGUUCCCCGCCUGGGGAGUACGGCCGCAAGGCUAAAACUCAAAGGAAUUGACGG
Molecule: ribosomal RNA, 568 nt
Filed under: uncultured bacterium
Lineage: Bacteria
Description: bacterial SSU rRNA
Rfam family: Bacterial small subunit ribosomal RNA
Source: RNAcentral